UACAGAGGCCUCAAGCGUUGUUCGGAUUCAUUGGGCGUAAAGGGUGCGUAGGUGGCUUGGUAAGUUGAAGGUGAAAUCUCGGGGCUUAACUCCGAAACUGCCUUCAAUACUGCCGGGCUUGAGGACUGUAGAGGAGAAUGGAAUUCACGGUGUAGCAGUGAAAUGCGUAGAUAUCGUGAGGAAGACCAGUGGCGAAGGCGAUUCUCUGGGCAGUUCCUGACACUGAGGCACGAAGGCUAGGGGAGCAAACGGG
RNAcentral lists this ribosomal RNA (253 nucleotides) under uncultured bacterium. RNAcentral's name for it is "partial 16S ribosomal RNA". It matches the Rfam family "Bacterial small subunit ribosomal RNA", at positions 524 to 776 of the family's 1533-position model. The record is from RNAcentral.